GCCUGGGUGGCACAGCGGUUGAGCGUCUGCCUUCGGCUCAGGGCGUGAUCCUGGCGUUGUGGGAUCGAGCCCCACAUCAGGCU
Ailuropoda melanoleuca (giant panda) is the source of this 83-nucleotide non-coding RNA. Lineage: Eukaryota; Metazoa; Chordata; Mammalia; Carnivora; Ursidae. The record is from Rfam.